AUUGUCACGCGGCCUUUAACUGAUUUGUCCAAAUUAAUAAAGUUUUCUUCUUUUCCUGUCAUGUGACUACUACAACUACUAUCGACAUACCAAAUAUUGUUAGCAUUUUUUUCUAAUGAACGACAUACAAAAAGUACAUUAUCGUUUUCAUUCUUUUCAUAAGCAAAAUUCGCAUUCUGUUGUUUUAAUCGACAAAAGCGCUCGAUGUGACCAAAUUUUUUACAAUA
RNAcentral lists this long non-coding RNA (227 nucleotides) under Ananas comosus (pineapple). Its description in RNAcentral is "long non-coding RNA (ACOM_LNC036709)". Lineage: Eukaryota; Viridiplantae; Streptophyta; Magnoliopsida; Poales; Bromeliaceae. The record is from RNAcentral.